Molecule: ribosomal RNA, 318 nt
Filed under: Lactococcus lactis subsp. lactis
Lineage: Bacteria; Bacillati; Bacillota; Bacilli; Lactobacillales; Streptococcaceae
Description: bacterial SSU rRNA
Rfam family: Bacterial small subunit ribosomal RNA
Source: RNAcentral
UGGCUCCAGGACGAACGCUGGCGGCGUGCCUAAUACAUGCAAGUUGAGCGCUGAAGGUUGGUACUUGUACCGACUGGAUGAGCAGCGAACGGGUGAGUAACGCGUGGGGAAUCUGCCUUUGAGCGGGGGACAACAUUUGGAAACGAAUGCUAAUACCGCAUAACAACUUUAAACACAAGUUUUAAGUUUGAAAGAUGCAAUUGCAUCACUCAAAGAUGAUCCCGCGUUGUAUUAGCUAGUUGGUGAGGUAAAGGCUCACCAAGGCGAUGAUACAUAGCCGACCUGAGAGGGUGAUCGGCCACAUGGACGAGACACGCC